AGCGAACGUUAGCGGCGGGCUUAACACAUGCAAGUCGAACGCGAAAGGGAUUCGUCCCCGGUAGCGUGGCGUCCGGGUGAGUAACACGUAGGAAACCCUUGCCUCGAGAGGGGGAUAACGUCCCGAAAGGGACGCUAAUACCGCAUAAGCCCACGCCGACCCUGGUCGGAGUGGGAAAAGAUGGCCUCUGAAUUCAUGCUAUCGCUCAAGGAUGGUCCUGCGGCGCAUCAGCUAGUUGUGGGUAACGGCCUACCAAGGCGAAGACGCGUAGCUGGUCUGAGAGGAUGAUCAGCCACACUGGCACUGAAACACGGGCCAGACUCCUACGGGAGGCAGCAGUGGGGAAUAUUGGACAAUGGGCGCAAGCCUGAUCCAGCCACGCCGCGUGAGUGAUGAAGGCCUCGGUU
This 407-nucleotide ribosomal RNA is filed under the name uncultured bacterium. RNAcentral describes it as "bacterial SSU rRNA". It matches the Rfam family "Bacterial small subunit ribosomal RNA", at positions 29 to 424 of the family's 1533-position model. The record is from RNAcentral.